GGGCUUCUCCUUCGGGAGCAGAGUGACAGGUGGUGCAUGGUUGUCGUCAGCUCGUGUCGUGAGAUGUUGGGUUAAGUCCCGCAACGAGCGCAACCCUUGAUCUUAGUUGCCAUCAUUAAGUUGGGCACUCUAAGGUGACUGCCGGUGACAAACCGGAGGAAGGUGGGGAUGACGUCAAAUCAUCAUGCCCCUUAUGACCUGGGCUACACACGUGCUACAAUGGACGGUACAAAGAGCUGCAAGACCGCGAGGUGGAGCUAAUCUCAUAAAACCGUUCUCAGUUCGGAUUGUAGGCUGCAACUCGCCUACAUGAAGCUGGAAUCGCUAGUAAUCGCGGAUCAGCAUGCCGCGGUGAAUACGUUCCCGGGUCUUGUACACACC
This 381-nucleotide ribosomal RNA is filed under the name Bacillus marcorestinctum. RNAcentral describes it as "bacterial SSU rRNA". It matches the Rfam family "Bacterial small subunit ribosomal RNA", at positions 1009 to 1391 of the family's 1533-position model. Lineage: Bacteria; Bacillati; Bacillota; Bacilli; Caryophanales; Bacillaceae. The record is from RNAcentral.